Drosophila pseudoobscura is the source of this 399-nucleotide long non-coding RNA. RefSeq lists it as uncharacterized. The transcript is spliced from 2 exons. The record is from RefSeq and is a predicted model, not a curated record. Lineage: Eukaryota; Metazoa; Arthropoda; Insecta; Diptera; Drosophilidae.
AGCUUGAAAUCUAGCUUUUUUCAAAUUUCAUUUACUUUUUUUGGCAUACAAAAUUUGUUUUUUGAUUGUAAUAUUUGUUAAUGUUUAUCAAGAAAUCGGAUUUUGUUAUAUCAUCCAAUUUUUUUGUAUAAAUUUAUGGGGAUAAAAUCAUGUCAUUACUUUAAUUACAAAUUCAAAAACAUAUAUCAAUAAAAUACAGUUAUCUUUUAUUUUGAUGAGUUUUUAUGAUUCAAGCUCCUGAAAGUGGAGAGCAUUUCGAAAUGUCGUUAAAAAAGACUUGCGUGCUGUCUGCCGCCGCACAUAGCUGGCGGAAUCCUAAAGAUAACACCCGCGGAAUUCCGAGUGUAAAUACAUGUGCUUUAUUUUUACCGAUUAAAGUCAAUAUCUUUGAUAUAUGUA